This 2310-nucleotide unclassified non-coding RNA is filed under the name Hermetia illucens (black soldier fly). RNAcentral describes it as "serum response factor homolog, transcript variant X1". The record is from RNAcentral. Lineage: Eukaryota; Metazoa; Arthropoda; Insecta; Diptera; Stratiomyidae.
CGGUGGAGAUGACAUCAUAUAAAAAUCUGCAAUCAAUAAUCAAGAAAUAACUUGUAAGAGAGAUGGGAUGAUAGCCGUAUUUGUUUCUCCAGUGCGGUGUUACUGGACUCCAAUUGGACAUUGCAGGUUAAUAUAGAUUUGUCGCAGUCACUCUGGAGUUGAAUACGAGGCAGUGGUAAGUUGUGCUGACCUGUGCAGACGGAGCGAUAGAAGCGAGGGACGGACAGAAGGAACGGGAGUGGAGUGUUUCGCUGCUAAUCUGCGCGCGCUCUCCAGUUGGAAUCUUAUUCGACUCAGGUGUUCAGCUGUGAGCGGAAGUUUCUGCUAUUUGUGUGUGCGGCGUGACAGCAAAGCGGCGAUUGACAAGCGCGAUCUUUUUCGAGGUGUCAGAAAAAAUCAAGUGCGUUCUCUUGGCUAAGGUGGUAAUUUCGCAAAAGGAAAUCUAUUGCAGACAUAGGUAUGAAGCGGCAUCUUGGCUGAGUUGAGUGUCUCGCAUAGAAAUCUAUCGACUGUGGCGGCUAAUUUUAAAAGGAAGUGCCAACGAAAGCCCAACGUCGCAACCGUCAAGGAUUACAACUGUUUGGAAAAUUCAAACGCGAACAUUUUAAAAAGAUAGACGGUAGUGAGAGUGUCAACAUAAUAGAGGGGAACUUGCGGCAAUGUACAAGUGCGGAAACGUCAACGAGAAGCAACUGUGAAAAGUCAAAACAGUGCAUCCGAGCGAAACGCGAGUUCUUUACGUGCGGGUGGAAAGUGCAUGAAGUGUACACUUGCGAGGAUUCGACGAGACUUGGCAAACGUGCGACUAAUUGUGUUUAAGCGGAGAAUUUACAACUGGUAAUUGUGCAGUUACUUCGCCGGUCGAUAGUUUGUUACGAGCGGGGAUUUUGCAUGAAAAGGCCGCGAUUGAAGAUUUAACUUUGAUAGCCUUCUGAGAAAAGCGAAAAAGAUAUUGGCUGACGUUUGUAAACUUUUUAUCGUUGUUGGUGUUUCGUUAGUGGAGUUUGUGUCGGAUGAUCUUUGAAUCUAAGACGUGGAGAUUUCGCUGUUGGCGUCGUUUGACCUGCUCAAUUGUCGGUGACCUCCUGUCGGAAGGUGGUCUUAGGUUGUUCUUGUUGCACAGUCCCAUCCCCGGCCUUCAAAAUUUAUCCGAAAAUCCAGGACAGUCCGCCGGAAGUCAGCGUCGUGGACGAGUACUUUGUCGGAAUGGAUCCGUCGCGGGGUGACUCGCGCUACAACUUAAACUAUAGUAUGGGCGGCAUUGGUUUAAGCCUGGCUGACCCAGCUGACCUUUAUGGGAACCCUGGUGGAACAUUGGCGGCGACAGGGCGUCCGCCGAGCGGUGGAUUGAUACAAUCAAUGGGAAGGACAUCGUCCGGAGGAGGUGGAUUAAUGGGGCAUGCGGGCGGAGGUGGCUCAGGAAACGCGGGUGCGGGUAGUGGACAGUGUCAGACAUUAGGUGUUAGUGGACAACAGUCUCGCGGUGUGAAACGGACAAGUUCUGAGUGCUAUGAUGACCACCAUCGGUCGAGUACUGGUGGAAUGACGGCACAACAGACGCUCCAAGGACUAGAAAGCUGUGCUAGCGGGGGUGUGGGUGGACAGCCGGGUUCGGGUGGCGGUAACGUCCCGGACGGAGUGGACGAUGGCUACACCUCCCUGCAGAAUAAAAAGUCACCGCCUGCAAAUGGAAAGAAGACCAAGGGACGUGUUAAAAUCAAAAUGGAAUAUAUCGACAACAAGCUGCGACGAUACACAACGUUUUCAAAGCGCAAAACUGGAAUCAUGAAAAAAGCAUAUGAACUGUCAACAUUAACUGGAACACAAGUCAUGUUGCUAGUUGCAUCAGAAACAGGACACGUGUAUACAUUUGCGACGAGAAAAUUGCAACCAAUGAUUACUUCUGAAGCGGGUAAGCAAUUGAUUCAGACCUGUCUAAAUUCGCCAGACCCUCCAAACUCGGGUGGCGGAGAUCAACGAAUGUCCGCUACAGGAUUCGAGGAGACUGAACUCAGUUACAAUAUUGCCGAUGAGGAUUCGAAAAUUUAAUGCAGCGAAAACGAUAAGUCUACAUCAGUGGAAUAAGGACAAGGCCAAACACAAACGUUCAUGACGCAAAAAGAAAGCGAAACCGUAAAAGCUGUGGGUCUUACUUUAUUUAAGUGCAUUGACGGAUGAUCGGUCACCAAUAUCUUCUACUAUUGAAUCAGAUGACUCAUCGGAUGUUGAUGAUCCUGUACCUGGCCCAGAAUCAACAAGUCUAAGUAACAGUAAUCAAAACAUUACCCAGGACAAUUUAAAAGGCAGCGG